Long non-coding RNA from Rhincodon typus (whale shark), 188 nucleotides. RefSeq lists it as uncharacterized. The record is from RefSeq and is a predicted model, not a curated record. Lineage: Eukaryota; Metazoa; Chordata; Chondrichthyes; Orectolobiformes; Rhincodontidae. The transcript is spliced from 3 exons.
GUCGCAGGCUCACCGAUCCCUCUGUGCAGCCUAUGUUGAGCUCUACUGCUUUUUCUCAGGACCUCUGAUUAUCAGUGGGACAGGAUGGGCCACUACAGAAUGUUAACAAGAAGAGGCACUUGUCUUACAUAACAAGGACCCCAUGUGAGACAAAUUGUUUUUCCAUGUGACUGUGUGACAUCAUCAGG